UUAUGGCCAUAUCACAUUGAAAAACUGGUUCCUGUAUGAUCACUGAAGUUAAGCAACAUCAAGUAUGGACAGUAUCUAGAUGGGUGACUGCUUGGGAAUACAAGGUGCUGUAAG
This is a non-coding RNA of Acanthosepion pharaonis, 114 nucleotides long. The record is from the annotation of a GenBank genome assembly. Lineage: Eukaryota; Metazoa; Mollusca; Cephalopoda; Sepiida; Sepiidae.